Molecule: unclassified non-coding RNA, 607 nt
Filed under: Rhodobacter sp. SL23
Lineage: Bacteria; Pseudomonadati; Pseudomonadota; Alphaproteobacteria; Rhodobacterales
Description: 16S-23S ribosomal RNA intergenic spacer
Rfam family: tRNA (bases 236-309)
Source: RNAcentral
GUAGCCGGUUCCAGAUUUAUCUGGAACAAAACAGUCCAGUGGACUGUUUUGAGGCGGAGAAGGCCAUCGCACCAGUGCGAUGGCAGGAAUGGUUCCGCAAGCGCGACCGUUCUUGUCUCACCCAUCGGGGCCUUAGCUCAGCUGGGAGAGCGCCUGAUUUGCAUUCAGGAGGUCAUCGGUUCGAUCCCGAUAGGCUCCACCAGGUCCUGCCCAAGAGACGGGAGAGGGACCAGACGGGUUAGUAGCUCAGGUGGUUAGAGCGUACGCCUGAUAAGCGUAAGGUCGAUGGUUCGAGUCCAUCCUGACCCACCAUUACCGCAAUCCCUUCGGCACAAGAGACGACUUGAUCAUCGAGCACAGGGUUCUGUGUUGGAUCAUCCAGUCGGAUGGCGCGAGCAAUCGCGCAGCAUUGACAUCGUAUAGAGAGAAACAUCGGUAUCGUUUGGAGAAGGUCAGUGAGACUUUCUCCUGGUCGCAAGACCAAGAACGAUACUGUUCCAAGUCUAGUACACUAACCGCACCGCAAGCUGGAGCAAUCCGGAUGCGAUGCAUGGGAAAGUUACUGCUUUUGAUACUGGAUGGUUUGAAACUUGCAGCAAUGCAGGUU